Molecule: signal recognition particle RNA, 281 nt
Filed under: Otolemur garnettii (small-eared galago)
Lineage: Eukaryota; Metazoa; Chordata; Mammalia; Primates; Galagidae
Description: Metazoan signal recognition particle RNA (ENSOGAG00000030026.1)
Rfam family: Metazoan signal recognition particle RNA
About the family: The signal recognition particle (SRP) is a universally conserved ribonucleoprotein.
Source: RNAcentral
GCUGGGCAUUGUGGCGGGCGCCUGUGGUCCCAGCUACUUGGGAGGCGGAGGCAGGAGACUCGCUUGAGCCCAGGAGUUGGAGGUUGCUGUGAGCUGUGAUGCCACAGCACUCUACCCAGGGGGACAGCUUGAGACUCUGUCUCAAAAAAAUAUAUAUAUAUUUAUGCUAUACUUUUUUUUUUUUUCUGAGACAGAGCCUCAAGCUAUUCCCCUGGGUAGAGUGCUGUGGCAUCACAGCUCACAGCAACCUCCAACUCCUGGGCUCAAGCGAGUCUCCUGCC